This 1420-nucleotide ribosomal RNA is filed under the name metagenome. RNAcentral describes it as "bacterial SSU rRNA". It matches the Rfam family "Bacterial small subunit ribosomal RNA". The record is from RNAcentral.
GGCAACCUGGCGACGAGUGGCGAACGGGUGAGUAAUGCAUCGGAACGUGCCCAGUAGUGGGGGAUAGCCCGGCGAAAGCCGGAUUAAUACCGCAUACGACCUACGGGAGAAAGCGGGGGACUCGCAAGAGCCUCGCGCUAUUGGAGCGGCCGAUGUCAGAUUAGCUAGUUGGUGGGGUAAAAGCCUACCAAGGCGACGAUCUGUAGCUGGUCUGAGAGGACGACCAGCCACACUGGGACUGAGACACGGCCCAGACUCCUACGGGAGGCAGCAGUGGGGAAUUUUGGACAAUGGGCGCAAGCCUGAUCCAGCCAUGCCGCGUGCGGGAAGAAGGCCUUCGGGUUGUAAACCGCUUUUGUCAGGGAAGAAACGCUCUGGGUUAAUACCCCGGGGUAAUGACGGUACCUGAAGAAUAAGCACCGGCUAACUACGUGCCAGCAGCCGCGGUAAUACGUAGGGUGCAAGCGUUAAUCGGAAUUACUGGGCGUAAAGCGUGCGCAGGCGGUUAUACAAGACAGAUGUGAAAUCCCCGGGCUCAACCUGGGAACUGCAUUUGUGACUGUAUAGCUAGAGUACGGUAGAGGGGGAUGGAAUUCCGCGUGUAGCAGUGAAAUGCGUAGAUAUGCGGAGGAACACCGAUGGCGAAGGCAAUCCCCUGGACCUGUACUGACGCUCAUGCACGAAAGCGUGGGGAGCAAACAGGAUUAGAUACCCUGGUAGUCCACGCCCUAAACGAUGUCAACUGGUUGUUGGACGGCUUGCUGUUCAGUAACGAAGCUAACGCGUGAAGUUGACCGCCUGGGGAGUACGGCCGCAAGGUUGAAAACUCAAAGGAAUUGACGGGGACCCGCACAAGCGGUGGAUGAUGUGGUUUAAUUCGAUGCAACGCGAAAAACCUUACCUACCCUUGACAUGUCAAGAAUCUUGCAGAGAUGUGAGAGUGCUCGAAAGAGAACUUGAACACAGGUGCUGCAUGGCCGUCGUCAGCUCGUGUCGUGAGAUGUUGGGUUAAGUCCCGCAACGAGCGCAACCCUUGUCAUUAGUUGCUACGAAAGGGCACUCUAAUGAGACUGCCGGUGACAAACCGGAGGAAGGUGGGGAUGACGUCAGGUCCUCAUGGCCCUUAUGGGUAGGGCUACACACGUCAUACAAUGGCCGGUACAGAGGGUUGCCAACCCGCGAGGGGGAGCUAAUCCCAGAAAACCGGUCGUAGUCCGGAUCGCAGUCUGCAACUCGACUGCGUGAAGUCGGAAUCGCUAGUAAUCGCGGAUCAGCUUGCCGCGGUGAAUACGUUCCCGGGUCUUGUACACACCGCCCGUCACACCAUGGGAGCGGGUUCUGCCAGAAGUAGUUAGCCUAACCGCAAGGGGGGCGAUCACCACGGCAGGGUUCGUGACUGGGGUGAAGUCGUAACAAGGUA